CUAGUAACUGCGAGUGAAGCGGGAARAGCUCAAAUUUAAAAUCUGGGKUCUUUGGCCAUCCGAGUUGUAAUUUAGAGAAGCGUCUUCCGCGCUGGACCGUGCACAAGUCUCCUGRAAUGGAGCGUCAUAGAGGGUGAGAAUCCCGUCUUUGGCACGGACGCACCAGGGCUUUUGUGAUGCGCUCUCGAAGAGUCGAGUUGUUUGGGAAUGCAGCUCAAAAUGGGUGGUGAACUCCAUCUAAAGCUAAAUAUUGGCGAGAGACCGAUAGCGAACAAGUACCGUGAGGGAAAGAUGAAAAGCACUUUGGAAAGAGAGUGAAACAGUACGUGAAAUUGUUGAAAGGGAAACGCUUGAAGUCAGUCGCGUCGACCGAGACUCAGCCUCGCCUCGGCUUGGUGUACUUCUCGGGCGACGGGUCAGCAUCAAUUUUGCCCCUUGGAUAAUGGCGAGGGAAAUGUGACACCUUUAUGGUGUGUUAUAGUCUCUCGUCGCAUGCGAGGGUCGGGAUUGAGGAACUCAGCACGCGCCUUUGGGCGUCGGGGUUUUUGCCCACGAUACGUGCUUAGGAUGUUGGCGUAAUGGCUUUAAACGACCCGUCUUGAAACACGGACCAAGGAGUCUAACAUGCCCGCGAGUGUUCGGGUGGAAAACCCGUGCGCGCAAUGAAAGUGAAAGUUGGGACCUCCGUCGUGGAGGGCACCGACGCCCGGACCAGACCUUCUGUGACGGCUCUGCGGUAGAGCGUGUAUGUUAGGACCCGAAAGAUGGUGAACUAUGCCUGAAUAGGGUGAAGCCAGAGGAAACUCUGGUGGAGGCUCGUAGCGAUUCUGACGUGCAAAUCGAUCGUCAA
This 850-nucleotide ribosomal RNA is filed under the name Russula emeticicolor. Its description in RNAcentral is "partial large subunit ribosomal RNA". Lineage: Eukaryota; Fungi; Basidiomycota; Agaricomycetes; Russulales; Russulaceae. The record is from RNAcentral.